GACGAAGGUGGCAAGCGUUGUUCGGAUUCACUGGGCAUAAAGGGCGCGUAGGCGGUUCCGAAAGUGGCCCGUGAAAUCCCCCGGCUCAACCGGGGAAGUGCGGACCAAACUUCGGUGCUAGAGGGUGGGAGGGGAGACUGGAACUCUCGGUGGAGCGGUGAAAUGCGUAGAUAUCGAGAGGAACACCGGUGGCGAAGGCGAGUCUCUGGUCCACCACUGACGCUGAGGCGCGAAAGCGUGGGUAGCAAACAGG
RNAcentral lists this ribosomal RNA (253 nucleotides) under uncultured bacterium. RNAcentral's name for it is "partial 16S ribosomal RNA". It matches the Rfam family "Bacterial small subunit ribosomal RNA", at positions 524 to 776 of the family's 1533-position model. The record is from RNAcentral.